GUAAAUUAUAUUUUCUGCUGUAUUUAGAAAAAGGGACGACCACUUUAUUUGAAUAAAUAAAUAAACAAAAUGCAGGUAUACGGAGGAACCUCAAAUGUCCCAGUUUUACACUAGGACAUGAACACAGCUCAAGUUUGCGGAUCUCGGCGAAGCUGGCAGUGUGAAGUUUGUCUCAAAAUUAUACAUAUUAUACACAUUUGUAAAUCAUACCGUACGUGCACUUGCCCUUUUUUAGGUUUCUCUCCAUAUAUAAAUAGCGACUGUAAAUGUCAGUUUAAAUCGUCUUACCUGUAAAACUUGCCGUCUUUACCGGAAGUCAAUGUACACACCUUAACGACUGGGCGUGUUUAUUUUUUCCAGUGUAACUGAAAAGUUAAGUUUCAUUUUCCUGUUCUGGAACAUCAUCUGCUAUCUAGUCGGCGACACAGAUUAAAAUUACAAAAUGGAAGAAGGAAGAACUAGCCUGAAGAAAAGAAAGAGAGUCACGGAUGAGAAAGAUGACAAGAACCUCUGGCGUGUAAAAUGUGGAGACAAAAAGGGUUGGAUGGAUGUAGAGAAGUUGGGAAAAGGUAAGGAUUGUAUUGAGUUUGAAGGCUCCUUUUACAGUCCACCUGAGUUUGAGAAGCUUGCAGGAAAAGAUUCAUGUAGAAAAUGGAAGUCAUCUAUUUACCACAAGAAAGCUCCUCUGCACUAUUGGUUCAAGAGAGGUUACCUAACCACUACAGGAUAUAGACAAAAAAAAAGAAAACGACAAUCAUCAGACCUUGAGUCCCAGGACCUCUUAACAGUCCUGUUCAAUAAAUACUCACCUGCAUCAGAGCUGCUGCAUUUUGGGUCCCAUCUUCAACUCCACACGUCCGCCACCCCGGACACGACAGAAAAUGAGGAUGGAGAAGAGGAUGAUGAGGAUAUGGAUGAAGAUGAUGUAUGGGCAGAUAAAUGGGAAGAUAAAGAAGCUACACAGAUUUCUAUCUCUUCUUCUGAAGAAGAGAGUGCGGAAGAUCAUGUUAAAGAUAUAGAUGACGAUGGAGAAGAGGAAGAUGAGGAUAUAGAUGCAGUUGAUGUCAGUAACGAUGAGCCUAGCACUGAGGAAGAUGAGGAUGAAGAAGAUGAUAAUGAUGAGGAUGAGACUGUGCCUGCUGUUGCCUCUAACCAUACUGGCAGCAGUGGUAUCAAAGCAAGUGUAACACCUAUGAUGAAAGAAGUAAAGGGUAUUGUUAACAUCCCUCCUGAGAAGAGUACACAUCAUCCUGACAUGCCAAGAUCUGAAGUCAGUGGAAAUAACAGAGAUGUGGCACAAAACACAGCAAUCAAACAGCUGAAUGUUAAGAAACAACCUGAAGAGAAACUGAAGAAGACAACAACAAGCACAAUUUCAAUACCUGGGAAACUUGCCCCGAAGAUUAAAGAAGCUUAUGGUAUCGUUAAUAGCCUUCCUGAGAAGACUAGACAUCAUCCUGACACGACAAGAUCUGAAGUCAGUGGAAAUAACAGAGAUGUGGCAACAAACACAGCAAUCAAACAGCUGAAUGUUAAGAAAGAACCCCAAGAGGAACUGAAACACAAGGAAGAUCGUGUUAAAGAUCAAGAUGAAGAACAAGAAGAUGAGCACAUGGAUGAAGAUGUUGUUGGUGAUGAUGAGCCUAGCACUGAGGAAGAUGAGGAUGAAGAAAGUGAUAAUGAUGAGGAAGAGACUGUGCCUGCUGUUGCCUCUAACCAUACUGGCAGCAAUGGUAUCAAAGACAGAGUAACAAGUGCAAUUCCAACACCUGGAAAACAUGCAUUACAGAUGAAAGAAGUAAAGGGUAUGGUUAACAUCCCUCCUGAGAAGAGUACACAUCAUCCUGACAUGCCAAGAUCUGAAGUCAGUGGAAAUAACAGAGAUGUGUCACAAAACACAGCAAUCAAACAGCUGAAUGUUAAGAAAGAACCUGAAGAGAAACUGAAGAAGACAACAACCAGCACAAUUUCAACACCUGGGAAACCUGCAGUGAAUAUCAAAGAAGUAAAGGGUGUCGUUAAUAGCCUUCCUGAGAAAGCUAGAGAUCAUCCUGACACGACAAGAUCUGAAGUCAAUGGAAAUUCCAGAGAUGUUGCAAAAAACACAGCAAUCAAACAGCAAAAUGUUAAGAAAGAACCCAACAAGGAACUCAAUGACCAUCAACAUACAGAGGUGCACUUCUCUGGCCACAGUGUAACUGAAGUACAAUCCAUGAGACCAGAGAUGAGUGCGGACAUGUCAGAGGCCCCAUCACCUGGGCCCUCAGCCAGCUCUGGUUUGGAUCUUGAUCAACUGAAGAGGGAAAAAGUAAAAAUGGAACUAAAGGUUUUAAAAUUAAAAGAAUACUAUUAUGCUUUGAAAAUAAAAGAACUUAAAAAAUGAGGAUUAAUGCUUCUGUAAAGCUGACAUUGCAGAGAAUAAAUUAAAUGAUCGCUGUGUUUACAUCCACAAACUGACACACAUUAUCUGGAGGUUUCUUGGGUGGAAUGUUGCUUUUGAGAAAAGCUGCAAAGUCAAGUGUGCUGCAUUUAAGAUAAGAUAAGAUAGAACUUUAUUAAUCCCUCGGGUGGGUUCCUCUGGGAAAUUCGAUUUCCAAAAAGCACAGCACCGACAGAAGUUACAGUUACAGAAUAUUAUAUAUAUAUAUAUAUAUACACACACACACACACACACACAUACACACACAUAUAUAAAUACAGAGACAAAUAUAAAUAAAAUAUACGAAGGGGAUAAAUAGAAUAAAUAGGAAUAAAAAAUAAAAAUACAAGUGAAUUACACAUUUCACGUAUUAAAAAUACAAGUGAAUUUAUAAUUUAUAAUUUAUACACCGUACUUUUUCUUUGCUAUACUCAGGUUUCCUUUAGUAUUGUUGAUUACAGUGUUUUACUUUGUUUCUGUGAUGGAAUAGAUAGAUGGUAUUUUCUUCUGUAAAAUGUGAAUAAACAAUAUUGAUGCUUUUUAUCUGUAAAUUGCGCUAAAUGUUAUGAAACUGUGUUUCCUUUAGACUUUGCCCAAGCUGCAGUAAUCAUUGUAAGACAUAGCCUGUAAACAGCAUCAUGCAAUGUCUUGAACCACUGCUCAUUUCUUUAUAUUUUGCAUAAGGAGCAAGAGAUUUUAGAAAUUUGUAAGACAAAAGCAAUAGAUUAGACAAAAAUAUUUUCAUGGAAAUUUGUUCAACCAUAAUGAGAAAAUACAAAAUGAAAAAAGGAGAGUUUCAGUGCUGUGUGUGUUAUCUUUGGCAUUUUUCUUUUUUUUUUUAUUCAAAACCUAAAUAUAGUUAGGUAUAUAUAGACUAGAUUCAAUUGAUUUAUGUGAAAUAACUAAAGAAGAAAAAGUUAUCAGGCUAUAUUUAAUUAUCCUAUAGGCUCUAAUUCUUAAUUGACAUUCAGGUCCACACUCCAUGCCAGUUGGUGGCAUUAAUGAACCAACUAGCUUUUUGACAACCACGGACAAACACCAAGAAGGUUUUUUUUUUCUUGGGGGAAAAAGGUCAACUUAAAAAAAUCUCUCAUGUCUUUUGAAGAGUAAACUUUAAAAGUAAUUACUGGGUUUUAUCUCACUUAUUUGUGCAGCGAUACAAAUGUUCCAAUAUCUUUUUUUUUUCUUCUUUUUUUGUUGCCUGACCCGUCUGGUUCUUUAGCCAUCAGAAUUAUUGUUUGAAGGCCAAGAAAGAUGCCCAACGGAUUUACUUUACCAAGUGGAUCAUCACAGCCUUGCUAUAUUGGUCCAUUCAAGGGGCAAUCCUCAAGAGUUGGCAGUUCGUCCUGUAAUCGGAAGGUUGCCGGUUCGAGCCCCGGCUCCGACAGUCUCGGUUGUUGUGUCCUUGGGCAAGACACUUCACCCGUUGCCUACUGGUGGUGGUCAGAGGACCCAGUGGCGCCAGUGUCCGGCAGCCUCGCCUCUGUCGCCCCAGGGCAGCUGUGGCUACAAUGUAGCUUGCCAUCACCAGUGUGUGAAUGGGUGGAAGACUGAAUUUAGUGUAAAGCGCUUUGGGGUCCUUAGGGACUAGUAAAAGCACUAUACAAAUACAGGCCACUGACCUUUGUUAUUAUUAUUUAUUUAUUCUAUUUUCAGUUUUUACAGACAGGACAGACAUGACUGGGGGGCAGGAAAGGGAGAAGGAAAGAAAGAGAGGGAGGGAAAGAAAAACAGGGGAAGAGGGACAGUGAGAAAGUGCACUUAAAAAAAUCACCUGGAUCACCUGUCAGGUUCCUCCGCCCGCUGAUAUGUAGUGUUGCUGCAUGCUGUUCUAAAGUGCAUUUAAAACACGGGAGGGCAUGGUGCUUCCUGCCAGAGAGCAGCAGGUGUCAGCACAGCCCUUCCCAAGAAACCUCAAUGUUUACAUGUAUUUAAAAUUGAGAGGUGGGCACCGGCGCCAGAGGUGAGGUUGAAUACACAGACUGUCCUCUGGAUGGCGUAUAAUAUGCCCACCCCCAAGGCCCUACAUGUAUGUGUUAUGAGAGUGUGAGUAAUGUGGAUGUCUAGGUUGUGGAAUAAAAUUGAGGCACAGGUGGCCAGAAGGAGACACAGGGGAAUCCAACACUGGCAUGAUGUGUUUUUUUUUUCUUUCUUUUGCUUGAAUGAUUCAUAGUCAGUUAUAAGUGGCCUAAUAAUCUAAAAAAAUUAAAAGACUUAGAAAGACCUUAAGGAAUCCCAGAGAAAAAAAGACAUGCAACUUUUGCACAGUACUGUGUGGUCAGCUACAGAAGGACUGGACUGAUAAGAGUGAAAUCACGGAGAACAGGCUCAAGGCUAAGAUUUAAAAGAAAAAAAAAGAAAAGAAAAUCUGCCUCCUUAGAACCAAAACAUGAAAAAUGACACGUGACUCAAGAUUUUUGCACAGUACUGCAAUUGUGCACAUUGUACACAUGUGCAAUUUUAAAAUUAACUGUAAUUUUAUUAGGUUCUUAGUACUAUGACUUCACAAUAACAUGUAUAAAUGUCAGUGGCUGUAAUGUGAUAUGGAGAAAUAAAAGAAACAAAAUAAAUUUUGAGAAUAAUUUAUUUUAACUUAAUCAGAACGCAGCUGUUAUUGAUUGUGAGGCUUUAUCUGUCUUUCUAAUGCGCAUGUGAGAUAAACAGACCUUGACAAUGAAGCUAAGGCUGAC
Long non-coding RNA from Astatotilapia calliptera (eastern happy), 5109 nucleotides. Lineage: Eukaryota; Metazoa; Chordata; Actinopteri; Cichliformes; Cichlidae. The record is from Ensembl.